RNAcentral lists this transfer RNA (76 nucleotides) under Gammaproteobacteria bacterium. RNAcentral describes it as "tRNA-Ile". It matches the Rfam family "tRNA". Rfam says of the family: Transfer RNA (tRNA) molecules are approximately 80 nucleotides in length. Their secondary structure includes four short double-helical elements and three loops (D, anti-codon, and T loops). Further hydrogen bonds mediate the characteristic L-shaped molecular structure. tRNAs have two regions of fundamental functional importance: the anti-codon, which is responsible for specific mRNA codon recognition, and the 3' end, to which the tRNAs corresponding amino acid is attached (by aminoacyl-tRNA synthetases). tRNAs cope with the degeneracy of the genetic code in two manners: having more than one tRNA (with a specific anti-codon) for a particular amino acid; and 'wobble' base-pairing, i.e. permitting non-standard base-pairing at the 3rd anti-codon position. Lineage: Bacteria; Pseudomonadati; Pseudomonadota; Gammaproteobacteria. The record is from RNAcentral.
AGUGGGGUAGCUCAGAUGGAAGAGCAGCAGAUCGAUAAUCUGCAGGUCGCUGGUUCAAGCCCAGCCCCUACUACCA